CGCAAAUUUUCCCCAGUUGUCCAUUCCUCGUCCUCAGUCGUAAUAAUUCUUUGUUAACUUUAACAUUGUCCUAAAAGGCUUUUCCAUCUCAUAUUCAUCACUAUUGGACCAUCCACGACAAUGUCACUCUUCAGAAACCUUUCACAUAACUGUCGACCUCGAACUUUUGCUUUGUAAGCAUUAAAAGAUAAAUAGGAAGAAAAAUCGUCCGCAUGUUUGUUCCGACAUUGUCAAGUCUGGGCAAUGUUUGCACGGCCUAAACCCGCUGCUGCCAACGAAAUCAAGCACGAAAUUGCAGGGCGACAAAGCCACCAAUGCCAUUGUCAGGAACAUUCAGCGGCAAAGCUCCAUCAUAAUUUUUGCAGCUCAAUUCUCUGUUGCUUACAGUUCAAAGAAACGAUUUGUUUAUUGUUAUUAUAGUUUUAGAAGUUAAAUUUUUUAAUCAAUAUCGCUUGGCAAAACUUGACCUGCGUAGGACAACUCAGUAUUAUCGCCUUGUGCACGCGACAUUUAUUGCGCUUAUCAGGACGAGAAUGUGUCGUUUCAACACCGAUGAAGAAGACGAUUAGAUAUGACUUAAUAAACAUAAGUUGAUACGAAAUGGGAUUUUAUUUUCAAUUAGUAAAAACGGUAAUCUAGAACAACUGUUUCCAGAAAUUCUACGUUCUGUCUUCUUAAGAACCUGGACGAUUCUUCGAUUCGAAAGAUACUAUUUCAUAGAGAAACACGUUGAAUAAAUUUGUAAGAUCUCAUAAGGUGUGUAGAUAUUGGAUUAAACCUUUCAUAACACGAA
Long non-coding RNA from Actinia tenebrosa (Australian red waratah sea anemone), 793 nucleotides. RefSeq lists it as uncharacterized. NCBI's taxonomy places the organism in Eukaryota, Metazoa, Cnidaria, Anthozoa, Actiniaria, Actiniidae. The record is from RefSeq and is a predicted model, not a curated record.